GGCCCUUCCGCAAGCAUUAUCCUGUAACAUAAGAUAUUUCCUUCACGGCCGAGAGAAAUCAUUCCUCUCCUUCACUCUCAUCAUCCUGUCGAGGAACCGACCAGCUUACUUACCAACAAACAAUACGGAAGGAAGCAACAUUUUAUUAUCUCAUGCAUGGCCAAGCAAGGCAGGUAGAAGCAAGCAGAAGUUUGAUAUGUAUCCAUCCAAGCAUCAUCUUCUUUCCAAAGAUUCAGAAAUCUGGAUAGAGAGGCUGCUGGACAGUUUCAUCAUCUCUGAAUCACAGGGUUAAACUGCAAUCACACACGGUUGUGUCUGAAGCAAGUUCAGAGACAGAUCAUAUAACACUGCAUGUCGACAGAAAACAAGAACACAUCACGACACCACAUGCUAUAACAAGAACAAAAGAGUAGCAAUGUGCAAGCCAUAUCAUGAGUUUUGGGGAUAAAUUGAUUUCGGUCUCAGCCAAACGACUUCUGCCAGGCUUCCGAAUUCCGAUCAACCAAAAAGCACUGAAGAUACUGCCAGUACACUAAAAUCAUCCACACAGAAAUAGCUGAUACUUAAACUGAGGUAUCAAGUGAGCUAUUUUCCAACCCAUAAAAGGAUGAAAAGUAUGAAUUGCCGGCUCAGAUAAAUAGCUCAACUAUACUACUUAUCCCAUUUCAGAGAAAUAAAUGCCUUGAUUUAUUUAAAAUUUGCUUAUCAUUGGCUAUCUGCCAAUACAUCAUGAACAGAAAAGCAUACAGGACUGAACUAACUUGCAAUCAUUCGUUUAAUAUAUAUCCAGUAGGUUCCAUGCAAAGGUUAAUUAGUUGAGUGCAUUUUUCAUUGCUUUCCAAACUUUUACUGUAGAUAUUUCUGCUCCUUUAAUUUUGAUUCUAUACAAAAACUUUCCACAACAAAUCUUAGUUGAUUAUUGACACCGGACACAAUAGCACACUACAGCACUGGUAUCAUAAAAGUAGUACAGAACAAUUUCCACACCUGACUAGUGGAAAAAGAGAGUAGAAAACUAGCGGACAAAAUUAGACAACAUUAGGUGGGUAAAAAACCAGCAUACAUAGACGAAGGAGCCUUCUGUUUUCUACCAAAUCAUGCCAUAGAUUUGGACCAGACAGUUACUAAGUAUUAACUGCCCAUAGUUUUUAGUAGUUAUGAUCAUUAAGAAGAAUAGAAGCAGACUCCUAUUGACAGAAUGUAAACACAAUUCGGUGAUCAGUUUAAAUUUUGUAAACCCAUGGCUAUUUCAUUUAUAAGAUAUUCUAUAAUCAAUCUGAGUGGAUUUUCGUAAGUGUUAUGCUUGAUUAAGUUGUGAUGCUUGAUGUCCUGGACAAGCUCACAAUGCUAUUCUAGUUAGAGUAGCAUCCUUAAUGUUUUACAUGUUAAACCCAUUCAUAUACUUGAAAACACAAUUGAUUGAUAUAUCAUAAACUGAAUCAAGAAAAACCUAAAAUAUUUCAACAAUAUAAUAAACACUAAGACACAUUAUGAAUGUACUACCUUUGAGAGUAUUAUGGAUACACAGAAUCAGUCACUAUUUGUCACAAAAAAAAGUAUUCAGAAUUGUCUCAGACAGUACCAUCAAACCCAGAAUUGUUCACAACUUAUCAAAACAAGAAAUUCCCUCAUAUACUGUGAGAAUCCACAAAUAUUUGGAAAUGCAUAUAUGUGAUUUAAACAAAUUCUAGUACCAUAUAUAAUAUUUCCUUCCUAGUCGCUAUCUAGUUUUUUUAGGGUUGUGCCUAGGUGUGGUGGAAUGCCAUGUUAUCAUUCAGUCAAUUCCACAAACUCUCUCUUGUGGGCACUCCUCGCUUUCCUCUCAAACGUAUCUCUCACAUUCUCAAUAUAUCUUGGACCAUCCAAAUGUGAUUGCUAAUAUAAACCACAACUGAUACAUUGCAUCUAGAGGUCAGAAGGUUCUGAUUUUGAUGAAAUUCAUGAAGGAUUAAGUAGGAACAAAUGACCAGACGUAUGUUAAAAGCGUAGAAAGAUAUUUUCUGAAGAGCUGGGAAGGCUAAAAGGGCAUAUUCAUGAUUCAGAGGGAGCAACCGAUGUUCUAAAAUGCAGAAAGUGAGUGUCGCCUACUGUCUAGUCUACUCAUACUACCACACAGAAGCUGCAUUUUAUACUAGUGGUGGGACCAGUUUGCAUAAGGAAGCGGCGGCUUAUGGUUUGAACUUUUGGCCAAAUUUAAUUUUUCUGCAAUUUGGUGAAUGGAAGAGGUUUUCACGACAAGCUACAAUAGGUUACUGUACUUUGCAAACCGAUGCCCCAACCAAUGUGGUGGUUAUGAUUUUUUGCAACCUAUUUAGAGUCUAGAUUGACAAGAGACUUCAGGAAUGUAAAUUAUGAAUUAACAAGAAAAGAGUUGCAAACCAACAGAUAUUAUUUACUAAUGUGGGGGAAUGUCCGGAAUCUCCUACUCAUUGUUGAAGCACUCUAAAGUAUUUCUCCUCUCAUUUCCUCACAACAAUACAAGCGCUCAAACCCAAGGCAGACCUUCUUCUCUUUGAAUAAGUGCACUCAAGACUUCAAGCAAGUGCAUCGAAGCAAGGGCAUGCAUCUUUCUUGGCAAUCCUUCCUUGGUUAAGGUCACCAGGGGUCUCACGUCUAAGAACCAUGUAGGUAUUGACAAGACUUCAACAUUAAUAAACCCAUGACAUUUGUUUCAGAAACCAAGGUAAGAUAGUGUAGUUUGAUGCACCAAUAGUUCCUCCUAAUCGCUUUAGUCAACUAUUAAAUGUGAGGAAAAUCUAGAAGCGUGUGAAAAUAUCACUAAUCUCCCUUGUGUAAUCAUGACCUGUGGAGUUAUAAUUGUAACUUAGCGAAUUAGCACCCUCUGUGAAACUAAUCAUGACAACUUUGUUUUGGAAAAUAUCACAUGUAAAUCAUCCAACCCCAAAUGAGGAUAAAUAGUCAAUUGAAAAUAUCACACGCACAUCACCCCAAUGUUUAGGAUGGCCAAUGAUUAUUAUUCUAAAGAUAUAUUGUUUCUAAAGCAUGAGAAUAUCAAGGUCAAAGGUUAGUAGCUUGGUAAUCAUACAAGAAACGGGGGAAUGGAUCACUAGAAGCUAGGGUGUCUUUAUAUUGACAAUGAACAUUCAUUGCCACAAUGUUUAAGAUGGUCAAUGAUUAUUGAUCUAAGUAAACAUUUUCCAAGUGUGAUGCACUUUAGGACUACCUACAAUGAUGCUUGUAGCGGGUGGAAGCCCAUGGAAAAGGAUUAAGAUAGUGGCAAAUUAAAGUUGUUGUUUCAUGAGUAAACAAAAGUUCAUAAAUUCAAAGAGUACCGAAUGAUGAUCCUAGUGGUCUAGACAAUAGGUUGUAUCAUUGAUCUAACAAAGGAUGAGAAGAUAAGGUGUUAGGGCUAGAUGAUCACAAUUGAUCAGGAGUAAGUAGUGUUAAACAAUCAAGAUAGAGGUGUUCUCUUCCCAAUCCCAAUAUAGGUUGAAUGGUCCUAACUAGCUAGAUGAUUGGGCCAAAGAGAGAAUCCAUUAAUGCAUAUAUGAGAUGAUCCAGGCUAAAUCUAAUGACUAUAUAUUAACUAGGUGGAUGAUCCGAUCAAUGACCUAAUUUGUUCGGUUAGUAACAGUUUGUUGGUAAAAUAUCCAUCAAUUCGUCUCUAGAGUGAAGGCCAUAUAUGGAAGCUUGUAUGCCUCCGAUGACUGAUUAAGCCAAUUUCUUAUUGUGCCAAGCUUCAAAAAGCUCAAUAGCUCUUGGUAUUUCAAGAUCAUUCCGGUGCUCAGAUAUUAGGUGAUUAGAGAUUAGGCCUAGUAACGGAACAUAUACAUAAGUUUUUUUUAACUCUUGUUGUCUUGAGCAUAAGUUGGAGCUAUAUUACUUUAUUAUUUUAGAAAUGCUUGAGUUCAUUGGUGAUCUUUCAUGUAGAUACUUGUUGAAAUCUCGAGAAGUGUGAUGGUUGAGACCACACCUGUCUUAGGGGGCAGUUGGUCGAUUGUCCAAUGUCAUAAGAAAUCGAUGACGAAUCCCCUUGGAGUUUGUAACUCUUUCUAUUUGCAUUCAAAACUUGCUUAGAGUUGCCUUAUAGUGCUAGGACUCGAACCUCUUGCAAAAUUCUCCUUGUUAUUGUUACAUGAGGCAUAUCUUAUCUAAAACAAAUUUCAACACCAUGACGGCAAUUUAGUGUUUUAAUAAACCGAAUUAACUCCAUCUUAGGCAUGCUAGGCUAACUUGACUCAGAUGGACCAGCAUUCCUUAUUAUGGCUUUACGUCACAUAUUACCUUCUGUUUGAUAUGCGGCAUCGAACCUUGCUAAUGCACAUGGGAUGGCUUAAAUCUUUCAGUAAUACUUUGCACUUUUCUGAUAUCAGAUCAAUUGGAUCGAACCACAUGAUCCCAAAGUGUUCAUCUAUUUGUUGACCAAAGAGUGUUGUGCCAUCGUGUCUCGCGUUAAGCAUGACGAAGGACUACUUGAAAAGGCGCUACCACCCCCACAAUCAUCUCUAGAGACCUCGUAGAGCUAUAGCCACCUCUACCUAUAAAGGGGCAUCUCCUUAAAUUCUAGUGUUUAUCAGGCCAAGUGUCUCAAACCCCAGUUGUGGUGACCUCCCUUGAUGAAUCUUGUGGGGUUCAAAUUUUUCACAUUCCCCCAAUUUCUUUGACCCAACCAUUAAACCUAAGUCACUGUUUGUUCUAUUCUUAACCAUUCAUGGUCAUGUUCUUGUUGCUGGUAGCAAAGGUUAUGGUGAUGGAUGUAAUCUUGUUCAUCGUUGUUCAUGAUUGGAUCUGUAUUUCCUUUUGUUGUCGUGGAAGUAUAAAGGCUUUAAUAAUUUUUGUGAUGGCAAUACGCCAUGGUUGAAAUAGGUGUGAACACUUUGUUUUGAGCGCUUGAGUUUUGUUGCGACAAUAUGACAUAAGAUAGACAAUUACUGAGUCAAUAUGGUAAAGAAUACAACAAGGAGAACCUGAUGUUAGAGGAGACUUACGGCAAAGAAAAGCUAAAGAGAUGAACUAUCCCGCAAGGGUACUAACAAAGCUAUGUAGUCAAGCAUCAAUUUUCUAUAUGUACUAAUAUGUAUAGAUGAUAGUCAAUCUCCAAUUUUCUCUAGUAAGACUGCCGACAUUGACCACUUCAAGCUUCAUCAUCGAUAUUUUUCAAUUUAGUCGCCGCUACAUACCUCAACACUCCCUUACAUGACUUCGCCACUCCAUUUUUGUGUCUAAUGUUGAUAGUCCUCAAAAAAUCCACUUAGAGGGAUUUUGAUGUUUUUUGUGAGCUUUUCAUUAGCCAUGGUAGAUGUUAUAAUUGUCUGUUACAUCUUAGGUAUCCUGGAGGCAAUCUAUGUACUUAAACCUUGUGUUAGUUGUGUCUUGUCUUGUGCAUGAUUUAUUAAGCCAACAUUCACAACCAUUUAAAAUUCUUGAGUACAUUUACUUAUCAAUUUGAUAGUUUUUUUUCAUUUGAUACAUCAUAUAUCUUCCUCUAGAUUUUCCGAUGUGAUCAUAUUAAGUGCUAUGUCCUAGUGCUCCUAUCCCCAUGGAACACUUCGUGCACAUCUUGUCCAUUCCAUGUCUUGGACGAUUUACUUAAAUUCUUCAUGAUACUUAGAUGCAUCACAUAUUCAUACCCUACAACUAGCCAAAUAAAUCAUGAUACUUUUGGUGGGAAGUGAUAGCCAAAUCAUUGACACCAAAUGUUGGCAAAACAUAUGAUAAGUUCCAUGUUGAUGUAUGUUUGAUAUAAAUGUCAACUAAAUGAUUUCUUGAUGUAUGAUCCAAGACCAGGGUCCAAUGUUCAGAAGUAUAAUUAGCCAUGCACGAGUCAAUGAAGAAUUUCUUUACUUAUGUUGUUAAGAGUUUAUUAAUUUUCCUUGGUAUAUCUUAUCCUACUCUCGCUAUUCAUGUAGUCAUUGAUUAUGUAUGUUACAUAUUUAUACCCGAACACGUGUGUUUGACUGUAUCCUGUGGUGUAAAUGACAUGCAACUAAUCAUUAUUUAUUUAUACUUGACUGGGUUUUCAGUAGUCACCAAAGAAAUAGGGAAAAUAUGUAGGAUCCUCACUCAUAUUUAGUAGUUAAUGAUAAAAAAAACAUCAAGACUAACAAGUUGGGAAAACAUGUGUGAAGUUUUUAGUCUUGAUGAUAUAUAUGUUUGAUGUCAAAGUCACCUCAAUGAAUUUGUGAAGUAUGAGCCAAGAAAAAGGUAUGCACGAUAUAUAUAUUGAGAAGUUAGUAGCCAUAGAGAUCCUAGCCGUUCGAGACGAUGUUUUAUAUUUGAACGCGGUCUCUUAUAUGCAAUUUCUAUUGUUAUUUUCAUAUGAAUAUACUAGUGAACUUCUAUGAAAAAUGUGAUUAUAAAAGUGUUUUUUAUAACAAAUCUGGUCAUAUUAGUUUCACAUCGCCAAGCUAAAAAUAUUUUUUGCACAAAAAAAUUACGAAACUAGGGAAGUUCGACACAUGUUUCAGAAUGACAUCUAUUUAUGAAUGUAGGGAGUAUUUAUCUAGGGUGUUUUUAGUCUUUACAUGGAUGCAUGGUUGUAUCAUUCAAGCGGUCGACAACACAUGGACAUUGUUGAAGAUAAAUGGAAUUGAAGUUUUUGAUGUUGUAGAGAGCAAGAUGAUUCAGUUGACAAACAUAGGUGGAUGAUUGAUCCUUGAAGGUUAUGACAGAUGAAGAAUGAGGACGCCCAAAUGGUCGAAGGGGAUUAUUUGGGGGGAAAUCAAGUGGAUGAUAUGGCUUGGUCGAUGAUUUGAUUUGGGCUAUGUAGCUUAUCUUAGCUCCAAUGGAUAGAUCAUAUCCAAAGUAUUUGCAUUGGCUAAAUAUAUAUGCUAAAACAAUGUUUAAAGAGCAAUCUAUUGAGUUAAAGAUACAUAUCA
This is a long non-coding RNA of Brachypodium distachyon (stiff brome), 6839 nucleotides long. RefSeq lists it as uncharacterized. The record is from RefSeq and is a predicted model, not a curated record. Lineage: Eukaryota; Viridiplantae; Streptophyta; Magnoliopsida; Poales; Poaceae. The transcript has 2 exons.